GGGGGGGGGGGGGGGGGGGCGGAGGACGGGGGGGGGGGGCGGAAGGGCCCUGCUGGGGGGGGGUGCUCGAGUGGCGAGCGGGUGAGUAACAAGUGAGUAACCUGCCCUUGACUGUGGGAGAACUUCAGGAAACUGGGGCUAAUACAGGAUAGGAGCUCCUGCUGCAUGGGGGGGGUUGGAAAGUUUCGGCGGUUGGGGAUGGACUCGCGGCUUAUCAGCUUGUUGGUGGGGUAGUGGCUUACCAAGGCUUUGACGGGUAGCCGGCCUGAGAGGGUGACCGGCCACAUUGGGACUGAGAUACGGCCCAGACUCCUACGGGAGGCAGCAGUGGGGAAUAUUGCACAAUAGGCGGAAGCCUGAUGCAGCAACGCCGCGUGCGGGAUGACGGCCUUCGGGUUGUAAACCGCUUUCGCCUGUGACGAAGUGUGAGUGACGGUAAUGGGUAAAGAAGCACCGGCUAACUACGUG
RNAcentral lists this ribosomal RNA (468 nucleotides) under uncultured bacterium. RNAcentral's name for it is "partial 16S ribosomal RNA". The stretch from base 58 to 468 matches the Rfam family "Bacterial small subunit ribosomal RNA", at positions 39 to 507 of the family's 1533-position model. The record is from RNAcentral.